CAGCCGCCGCGGUAAUACGGAGGGUGCAAGCGUUAUCCGGAAUCAUUGGGUUUAAAGGGUCCGUAGGCGGUCUUGUAAGUCAGUGGUGAAAGCCCAUCGCUCAACGGUGGAACGGCCAUUGAUACUGCAGGACUUGAAUUAUUGGGAAGUAACUAGAAUAUGUAGUGUAGCGGUGAAAUGCUUAGAGAUUACAUGGAAUACCAAUUGCGAAGGCAGGUUACUACCAAUUGAUUGACGCUGAUGGACGAAAGCGUGGGUAGCGAACAGGAUUAGAUACCCCAGUAGUCCCUGUCUCUUAUAC
RNAcentral lists this ribosomal RNA (301 nucleotides) under uncultured bacterium. RNAcentral's name for it is "partial 16S ribosomal RNA". It matches the Rfam family "Bacterial small subunit ribosomal RNA", at positions 509 to 807 of the family's 1533-position model. The record is from RNAcentral.